CUACGGGCCGCUGCAGUGGGGAAUAUUGCACAAUGGGCGCAAGCCUGAUGCAGCCAUGCCGCGUGUAUGAAGAAGGCCUUCGGGUUGUAAAGCACUUUCAGCGGGGAGGAAGGUAGUAAAGUUAAUACCUUUUCUCAUUGACGUUACCCGCAGAAGAAGCACCGGCUAACUCCGUGCCAGCAGCCGCGGUAAUACGGAGGGUGCAAGCGUUAAUCGGAAUUACUGGGCGUAAAGCGCACGCAGGCGGUUUGUUAAGUCAGAUGUGAAAUCCCCGGGCUCAACCUGGGAACUGCAUCUGAUACUGGCAAGCUUGAGUGUCGUAGAGGGGGGUAGAAUUCCAGGUGUAGCGGUGAAAUGCGUAGAGAUCUGGAGGAAUACCGGUGGCGAAGGCGGCCCCCUGGACGAAGACUGACGCUCAGGUGCGAAAGCGUGGGGAGCAAACAGGAUUAGAUACCCCUGUAGUC
RNAcentral lists this ribosomal RNA (464 nucleotides) under uncultured bacterium. RNAcentral's name for it is "partial 16S ribosomal RNA". It matches the Rfam family "Bacterial small subunit ribosomal RNA", at positions 339 to 795 of the family's 1533-position model. The record is from RNAcentral.